Molecule: ribosomal RNA, 429 nt
Filed under: bacterium
Lineage: Bacteria
Description: partial 16S ribosomal RNA
Rfam family: Bacterial small subunit ribosomal RNA
Source: RNAcentral
UAGGGAAUCUUCGGCAAUGGGGGCAACCCUGACCGAGCAACGCCGCGUGAGUGAAGAAGGUUUUCGGAUCGUAAAGCUCUGUUGUAAGAGAAGAACGUGUGUGAGAGUGGAAAGUUCACACAGUGACGGUAACUUACCAGAAAGGGACGGCUAACUACGUGCCAGCAGCCGCGGUAAUACGUAGGUCCCGAGCGUUGUCCGGAUUUAUUGGGCGUAAAGCGAGCGCAGGCGGUUUAAUAAUCCUGAAGUUAAAGGCAGUGGCUUAACCAUUGUUCGCUUUGGAAACUGUUAAGCUUGAGUGCAGAAGGGGAGAGUGGAAUUCCAUGUGUAGCGGUGAAAUGCGUAGAUAUAUGGAGGAACACCGGUGGCGAAAGCGGCUCUCUGGUCUGUAACUGACGCUGAGGCUCGAAAGCGUGGGGAGCAAACAGG